Molecule: ribosomal RNA, 612 nt
Filed under: uncultured bacterium
Lineage: Bacteria
Description: bacterial SSU rRNA
Rfam family: Bacterial small subunit ribosomal RNA
Source: RNAcentral
CAUUAGCUAGUUGGUGGGGUAAAGGCUUACCAAGGCAAUGAUGCGUAGCCGAACUGAGAGGUUGAUCGGCCACAUUGGGACUGAGACACGGCCCAAACUCCUACGGGAGGCAGCAGUAGGGAAUCUUCCACAAUGGGCGAAAGCCUGAUGGAGCAACGCCGCGUGGGUGAAGAAGGUCUUCGGAUCGUAAAACCCUGUUGUUAGAGAAGAAAGUGCGUGAGAGUAACUGUUCACGUUUCGACGGUAUCUAACCAGAAAGCCACGGCUAACUACGUGCCAGCAGCCGCGGUAAUACGUAGGUGGCAAGCGUUAUCCGGAUUUAUUGGGCGUAAAGGGAACGCAGGCGGUCUUUUAAGUCUGAUGUGAAAGCCUUCGGCUUAACCGGAGUAGUGCAUUGGAAACUGGGAGACUUGAGUGCAGAAGAGGAGAGUGGAACUCCAUGUGUAGCGGUGAAAUGCGUAGAUAUAUGGAAGAACACCAGUGGCGAAAGCGGCUCUCUGGUCUGUAACUGACGCUGAGGUUCGAAAGCGUGGGUAGCAAACAGGAUUAGAUACCCUGGUAGUCCACGCCGUAAACGAUGAAUGCUAAGUGUUGGAGGGUUUCCGCCCUUCA